Molecule: ribosomal RNA, 310 nt
Filed under: unidentified
Description: Ancistrus cf. temminckii MR-2020 partial large subunit ribosomal RNA
Rfam family: Bacterial large subunit ribosomal RNA
Source: RNAcentral
AAGAUAAAAGACCAACUAUGUCAAAAGUCCUAGAAAAGACUAAACCAAAUAGCACUGGUCCCAGUCUUCGGUUGGGGUGACCACGGGAGAAAACAAAACUCCCACGCGGACUGGGGUAAUCCCCUAAAACUAAGAGAGACAUCUCUAGUGCACAGAACAUCUGACCAAAAAUGAUCCGGCUAUACGCCGACCAACGGACCAAGUUACCCUAGGGAUAACAGCGCAAUCCUCUUCCAGAGUCCUUAUCGACAAGAGGGUUUACGACCUCGAUGUUGGAUCAGGAUAUCCUAAUGGUGCAGCCGCUAUUAAG